UACGGAGGGGGCUAGCGUUGUUCGGAAUUACUGGGCGUAAAGCGCACGUAGGCGGCUUUUUAAGUCAGAGGUGAAAGCCUGGAGCUCAACUCCGGAAUUGCCUUUGAGACUGGAUAGCUUGAAUCACGGAGAGGUGGGUGGAAUUCCGAGUGUAGAGGUGAAAUUCGUAGAUAUUCGGAAGAACACCAGUGGCGAAGGCGGCCCACUGGACGUGUAUUGACGCUGAGGUGCGAAAGCGUGGGGAGCAAACAGG
This 253-nucleotide ribosomal RNA is filed under the name uncultured bacterium. RNAcentral's name for it is "partial 16S ribosomal RNA". It matches the Rfam family "Bacterial small subunit ribosomal RNA", at positions 524 to 776 of the family's 1533-position model. The record is from RNAcentral.